CCCGAUUAACUUAAGCAUAUCAAUAAGCGGAGGAAAAGAAAAUAACUAUGAUUCCCUUAGUAACGGCGAGUGAACAGGGAAAAGCCCAAAUUUGUAAUCUGGCACUUUUUACAAGUGUCCGAGUUGUAAUUUGUAGAACUGUUAUCCGCGCUGGACCAUGUACAAGUCUGUUGAAAAGCAGCAUCAUUGAAGGUGAAAAUCCUGUAGAUGAUAUGGACUACCAGUGCAUUUGUGAUACGGUUUCUAAGAGUCGAGUUGUUUGGGAAUGCAGCUCAAAGUGGGUGGUAAAUUCCAUCUAAGGCUAAAUAUAAGUGAGAGACCGAUAGCAAACAAGUACCGUGAGGGAAAGAUGAAAAGAACUUUGAAAAUAGAGUUAACAGUACGUGAAAUUGCUGAAAGGGAAACAUUUGAAGUUAGUUUUGUAUUUGUUGGAUCAGCUUCGCAAGGAGUGUAUUCUGAUGAUAAGCAAGUCAACAUCAAUCUAUGAGUGUCGGAGAAGGGUUUUGAGAAUGUAGCAAUUUUUAUUAAUUGUGUUAUAGCUUGAGACUUGGAUACGAUGCUUUGGAUUGAGGAACGCGUAGUAAGCUUUGAGCGGAUUCGAAAGGAUCUCCUUACUAUGGAUGUUGGUGAAAUAACUUUAAGCGACCCGUCGUGAAACACGG
Molecule: non-coding RNA, 662 nt
Filed under: Melampsora larici-populina 98AG31
Lineage: Eukaryota; Fungi; Basidiomycota; Pucciniomycetes; Pucciniales; Melampsoraceae
Description: Eukaryotic large subunit ribosomal RNA
Rfam family: Eukaryotic large subunit ribosomal RNA
Source: Rfam by way of RNAcentral